This is a long non-coding RNA of Acanthaster planci (crown-of-thorns starfish), 4875 nucleotides long. NCBI's taxonomy places the organism in Eukaryota, Metazoa, Echinodermata, Asteroidea, Valvatida, Acanthasteridae. The record is from RefSeq and is a predicted model, not a curated record.
ACGGAGGAGGGGGCAGCUAUGGUGGGGGAGGGGCAUAUGGCAGGGGUAACUACAAGGGAUAUUAGCCCCGGUCCUCUCCACAGUCGUAUGAGUGUGUGGAGGGCGUGUAUAUUUACAGUACAGUAGCAGCAGGAUGCAAUUUUUGACUCUCAAAAGAUCAACACCACUGCAUAGUCAUCAAGGCUUCCUCCUGCAAGACGCUUAAGAGCUACAUGGUGAAAACUGCAUUACUGUAACCUCCCCCCCCCCGUUCAUUUUGUUUGCUUUGUUAAUUCUUAGUAUCUUUCCCUCUCAUAGAUGCAUAAAACAUAAUCGUCUGCUUCCUGGAAAAAUCCCCAAAGUUACACAAUAAUUGGAGGUUUUUUAUAUAAUAUAUUUUAUGUAGUCAUAUUACAAGACAGCACAUGUGGAAGCUGUGGGUCUAUGGUAUCGAAGUCGGCCCUAAAAUAUGGGGUUGCCCAAGCCUUCAAACUGAGACUACAUGUAUGCACCCAACUAACUUGCUGUGGCUAGGAGUAUUGCACAUGUCUAUGGUAAAAAUACCGAAACCACUUGUCAUGGGCUACUGUAGAAACAUGCAUCAUUUCCAGCCGCAGCCUUUAUAUGUGCACACAGCAAGUUCAGUCUAGGACCACUGGUUAUACCAGCGGUUAAUUUCUGAUGUCCUUGAUGGAUGAAUGCUGAUUUCAAAAUGCUACAGUCAGAAAUCAGCAAGGGUCAAACGCCAUCAACCACUGCUUGUUGGUCUUGGUUUCCCCAGUUGUGCAUUGCGAUAGGGCAGCUUUCGGUAACCAGUGACAAUGCCACCAACGUUGCAUGUUGUGUCUGAGGUAGUCCAACCAUUGUCAGCCAGCAGCUAGUCUGCAUUCGGUCAGAAUUGAUCAGACUUUGGCCAGCCAGUAGUAGUUCUCAAUCAAACUAGCUCUGUGCUGACAUGAAGUGGUAAUGUGCCGCAGGGCCACGUUCAUUGAUACCCCCCCUCCUCUGAAAUGUCACACAGACUGUCCAGUGAGGACAUCAGAAAAUUCAGCAGCCUGUACUAGUGCCUUCAGUUUGAUGAUACUUGGCACGCAAUGGCUAGUCCACUACGCUUUAAAUCACCGAAGUCUUACAAUGGCUAGUCCAUUACGCUUUAGAUCACCGAAGUCUUGCAGAGCAAGGCAAGCUGUCGGCUCACACAGCAUCUUGAGCAGUAGCUCCUUGGGCUCAAAAGUAACCCAACUCUCGUAGAAUAGUGCCCUCAAAGGCUACUGUGUAAAGCGAAAGACGGUAUUGAAAAUGCCACUGUGACAUGCGCUCAUUUGUGUAGGAAGUAGAUGUACAAUUUUGUGGGGUUAAAAAUAAAUUUGUGCCUACUAAAACCCCAAAAUACUAUUUACCGUAGGUAAGUACAGGUCACUUUUGAGUCCAAGAAACUGAGAUAGUCUGAGGAGUCAAAUUGGGUCUUGAAUGCUAACUAGCAGUGGCACCAUAGUAGUCAGUUUGAAAGUGUAAUGAUUCAUUUCAUUGGCUGACAGUUUCUGACAAUAAUGAAUAUUCAUACGCCCAAUGAAUGUUCAUUCUUGCUGCUAUUGUAUCCUGUAAACUUGGUUUUUUCCUAUCAAUUGUAAAUAAUUCAAUCCAAAGAUUCACUUUUGUAUUUUUUGGGUCGAAAGUGGUCAAACUGCUGUACCGAAGAAAAAUUUCGGAUAUCUGAUCAGCACACUGUUGAGCAGAAACCAAAAUUGUGUCAAAUUCUUCCAACCGAACUUUUUUGGUGAACGGAAAAAAAGACUCGUGGCUUUUCCCUUCAUUUUCAUUGCGGUGUACUUUAUUGGAAAAGUAAUUGAUGAGAAAAAUGAAAUGUUUAGUGAUAUACUAUGUACAUGUACUGUGAUUCGCUAUGAUUGGGCGGGGAAAACUGUCGGUUACUGCAAAAAAACAAAAACAAAUUGCAAGAUGUGUCGGCUUUUUUGUCCUUUUUUUGUCACCUGGUUUCUUUUCGUUUUUGAUUAUAGUAAGCGGUGGCAGUGAAUUCUAAUGGUGGAAAGAGGAACACAUUUUGAAUGAGGAAUAUUGUCCAUAAUUUGCUGUUGGCUGCAUCCUCUUGUCACUCAGUGAUUACAAAAACAGUGUAGCUUAAAAUGCUUAAAAUGCACCAAGCACAUCCUUUAAUAGACCAGAUAAGCCGUAGUCAUGUUGACCGGUGCAUUGUACAUAAACAGUGACCAGUUUCCAGCAGGUUGCUUGGCAGGUACAUUUGGUAAGAGGUAGUUGGGUGGCAAGUGGUGAGAUCAAAACACUGGCCCCAUUUUCACAACUCUGAUAGCUUCUCAUAUUGGAAGCAGGUUACCAAGGAAGAUACGAUAGUCUUGGCCCUUGAUCCUCAUAAAUGCUACGAAGAAAAUAACCUUGUUCAGUGGAUUAAACCACUGAGAGGCACUGCGAGACUCGCUUGGUUUAAUUGCCUGUGCUAAGUGUGCCAGGGUGGUGCGACCCAUGUCUAGCAUUUUAACUCUCGAAGAAACAAAAGGGCUUCAAUUUUCUGUAUAACACUGUGCACAUGUGUGGAAUAUAUUUUGCCUAUUAAACACGUCCCGCACAAUUCAGCAUCUCUCCCGUUCAAAUGCAACCUAACCAGUGUCAUGUCUGAGGCCAAUUUAAGUGUUGAUUUUCUCCAGCUGCCGUUGGCAGUACAUGCAUCACUGGAAAACUUUGUUCUUAGCCAUGUAUAUCUUGCCCGACAUUGUGUGUCAACAUGGGACAAUAUUCCUCAUUUGCAUCUCAUAGUCAAAGUAAACAACUCCACAACAGGGUAUCGGCAAAAGUAUCUUACGUGUGCAGCUUUGACACAUGAUUUGGAAAUGGCCGUAUUUAUUCUUACAGCGAAGCAGUGUUGUGUCAUCAUGUUUGCCAAAUACCUGUGCAGAAAAGGUACUUGUAAAGUAGAACAUUACAGCAACGUAACCAUCAGAGAGUUCUCCAGGGCUGGUUUAGCAGGCCCCACUUCAUCCAACAGGCCAUAAAUUAACCAUUUCGAGUGUGGUAGGUACUCACAGUGGACUGGUCCAUUAAGCCCUGCCCCAUUGUUUUCUGACCAAUCAAAGCCACAUCCAACAUGCGUGCACAAAAGUCCGACAAGCAUGAUGUGGCUUUGGAAAAGAGCAUGUGCUAAGUGCCCACCUGCGCAGUGGGCGGGGCUUACUGGUUUGGUCCAUUGCCCGAGCAUAACCCGUCUCCAGCAUUGCUGAAAUGAAGGCUGUUGCAGCAUACUCCAAUCAUGUACUUGUCAGAUCUAUAGAUCAGUCUGUUUUUAAUUUCUGCCCCCAAACUUCAUCGAACCUCAUCCAAGUAAGUUUCAGUGUGUGGCCUUACCUUUAAAAUUUUUGGGCGGAAGACAUUUUGAGGUGGAUACAAAUUUUGCCAGAGGUCUUGUACUAUGCACAAAAGCAUGUGCGCCAGUUGAGCACUAGUCAUGCAGUGUGCUUAUUGGCAUGGAGGGCAUUGCAACAUUUGCAGAUUCUCUGUGGAAGUUACCCUUACCUCCUAGAUCCUUCACAAACCACCAGGAGGUUGAUCUGACGAAUAUGCCCUUUGAAUGUUCAAAUUACGAAGCAUUCUCCAUUGAUUUCUUUUAAAGUGUUUGAUUUUGCUGGAGGAUCUAAGAGAUCCCUACCAAAUAAAAUUAAGAGAGGUGGGUUUUGACCAAAAAAAAGUCGCUUGUCUUGCCUAUAUUCACUUGGAUUAGUGUCAUAAAGCUGUCAAAAAUGGCCGUCUCACAUGAGUGGUUCUCUGCAGACUUUUUGGUUAGCGGCUACUGCCCUUAAGCACUAAUGGUUACAUAUUAAAGAGCACUUUUAAGAGCACAGUAUCAGACGUCUGGCUAGGAAUGAUGAAACAAGCACUGCAUGAGGUGAUUUUUGCAUCCAGAUUGGUCAUGUCAUUAGCCCAGUGUACGUUAUUCUCUUGAAGGCUGUGUUCAAGUCGGCAGUUCACAUCUGUGGCUAGGGAAAGUCCUAGCGCGAGUGCAGUAAUUGUAGUUAUGGGAGCAAUUAAGCCUGAAGGCUCAUUUCGGAUAGGGUUUGGUCUAAGACAUCACUAGUCUGGGGAUGAGUUAAGGAAUUGUGACUCUUCAUUGUCUAGCCCUCCGAAGACCACACAGGGACUUGAGGUGAAAUGCCUUUCACAGUGCCUCCAACUUUCUUCUGACUUGAGUCUCUGUAUCCAUAAAAUUCCAGCAAUUUCUUAUAUUUUUGUUGUCCAAAACAGCCUUUUUAAAAGAACUGUACAAGACAUUGUAAAGAAUGUUGAUUGUGACACAGCUAUGCACUGCCUCCGAGAAAAAGUUCAGAGUUAAACCAGCAUCACCUUGAAGUCACUGUUGUCACAUCUCUGACAAAAAAAAGUAACUUCUUGAAAAAUUGACAUGGCCAAAGUAAAUCACAUCAUUUAGUUCUUACAGAUAUUUUUCUCGGGUUGAAUUCUGAACUUUUUUCCUCAUUGUGAUUUUCAUACUCAAAUAGUAGAAUGCCUGUUAGCCUGUUGUCAUUCUGUUGUACACUGUUUCAACACAUCACACAAUCGUAAGUAGUUGUUGCUAUAAUUCUACUCUAUAGCAAACUCUCUUGCCAUUUGCCAAUAUUUUUUUCCUGGUUUAAGAACUUUUUAGCGGGAAAAAGGAUUGAUGUUUAUGUACAGAAGUCCAAAUUCACUGCAAAACCCCCUUUUUUGUUAUAUGUAUAUGUACUAGUCAUGCAUAGAUAUAUUUUUCGGACAGUCAUUUUUGUAGCUCUUUAAAUGUUCAUUAUUUGGUUGAACUCUUUUGUAAGUAUUACACAGUUCCGUUUUCGUGACGUUCUAGUUCAGUGAUGUCAAUAAAUUGCAAAAGACCCAAAA